RNAcentral lists this ribosomal RNA (372 nucleotides) under uncultured Pseudomonas sp. RNAcentral describes it as "bacterial SSU rRNA". It matches the Rfam family "Bacterial small subunit ribosomal RNA", at positions 1011 to 1382 of the family's 1533-position model. The record is from RNAcentral. Lineage: Bacteria; Pseudomonadati; Pseudomonadota; Gammaproteobacteria; Pseudomonadales; Pseudomonadaceae.
UUGGUGCCUUCGGGAACGUCUGACACAGGUGCUGCAUAGCUGUCGUCAGCUCGUGUCGUGAGAUGUUGGGUUAAGUCCGUAACGAGCGCAACCCUUGUCCUUAGUUACCAGCACGUUAUGGUGGGCACUCUAAGGAGACUGCCGGUGACAAACCGGAGGAAGGUGGGGAUGACGUCAAGUCAUCAUGGCCCUUACGGCCUGGGCUACACACGUGCUACAAUGGUCGGUACAAAGGGUUGCCAAGCCGCGAGGUGGAGCUAAUCCCAUAAAACCGAUCGUAGUCCGGAUCGCAGUCUGCAACUCGACUGCGUGAAGUCGGAAUCGCUAGUAAUCGUGAAUCAGAAUGUCACGGUGAAUACGUUCCCGGGCCUU